UAACUUGACAUGAAUGAUUGUGGAAGU
This 27-nucleotide non-coding RNA is filed under the name Rattus norvegicus (Norway rat). The record is from RNAcentral. Lineage: Eukaryota; Metazoa; Chordata; Mammalia; Rodentia; Muridae.